RNAcentral lists this ribosomal RNA (474 nucleotides) under uncultured Desulfovibrio sp. RNAcentral's name for it is "bacterial SSU rRNA". It matches the Rfam family "Bacterial small subunit ribosomal RNA", at positions 916 to 1381 of the family's 1533-position model. Lineage: Bacteria; Pseudomonadati; Thermodesulfobacteriota; Desulfovibrionia; Desulfovibrionales; Desulfovibrionaceae. The record is from RNAcentral.
GACGGGGCCCGCACAAGCGGUGGAGUAUGUGGUUUAAUUCGACGCAACGCGCAGAACCUUACCUAGACUUGACAUCCCGGGGAUUUUCUGGAAACAGAGAAGUGCUUUAGCAAUAAAGAACCCGGUGACAGGUGCUGCAUGGCUGUCGUCAGCUCGUGUCGUGAGAUGUUGGGUUAAGUCCCGCAACGAGCGCAACCCUCGCCUUUAGUUGCCAGCAUUCAGUUGGGCACUCUAGAGGGACUGCCGGUGUCAAACCGGAGGAAGGUGGGGAUGACGUCAAGUCCUCAUGGCCUUUAUGUCUAGGGCUACACACGUACUACAAUGGCCGGUACAAAGGGCAGCCACUCAGCGAUGAGGCGCUAAUCCCAUAAAGCCGGUCUCAGUCCGGAUCGCAGUCUGCAACUCGACUGCGUGAAGUCGGAAUCGCUAGUAAUCGUGGAUCAGAAUGUCACGGUGAAUACGUUCCCGGGUCUU